Molecule: unclassified non-coding RNA, 1275 nt
Filed under: Zea mays
Lineage: Eukaryota; Viridiplantae; Streptophyta; Magnoliopsida; Poales; Poaceae
Description: misc RNA Zm00001eb165020
Source: RNAcentral
AGAUUCGUGUCUCUCGCUUUUGCUUCGUACUCAAAUAGAUAUAUCGUGUGGCAUGCGUCGCUACUUGGGCGGUGGCUGGAUCCACGUGUCGCCGAGGACGUAGUGUGUGCCGACGAAUGGCUUGGCCUGCGCCUCGGUGAGGUCCAGCGCCCACCCCACCCUCUUCUUCUUCUUGGCGUCAGCGCCGGGGCCAAAGCACUUGAACUCGCCGUAGUAGAUGCCGCUGCUCUCCGGCUUGGCGAUCUGCCAGCCGUCCCAGCCCACGGGGACCACCUCCUCCCCCAUCUUCGUGUACGAGUAGACGACCCGGGAGGAGUCCCCCCAGGCGCGGCCCAGGUAGAUCUGGCCGCCCUUGACGCCGCCGAUGCUGCAGUUCUUGAACGAGAAGCCGGUGUCGAUGGCGCCCUCGAUGGACUUGGAACGCUGCUGCGCCGUCAGCACCGCCACCUCCUUGACCACCGACUCGAUGCGGCAGUCCUCGUAGAAGCUGCGGCCGAAGCCGAAGAUGAAGUCGACGCUGCCCCGGAUGAGGCAGCCCUUGAAGUAGUGCAGGCCCUUGUGGUCGUACAGCGUGUCCUGUCCGCCGUCGAUGGUGCAGUUGUAGAUCUGCGUCUUGGUCCCGAACAGCCGCACCGCCACCGCCUGGCCGCCCUUGGCGCCGGGCUUGGCCAGCGGCGCGUCGUUCCGGAACACCACGCCGUACGCCGUGAAGUAGUCCGACUCCACCGCCAGCGUGGCGCUCCCCACCGUGCCCACCGGCUUGCCGUCCUUGCCGUUCGUGGCCGCAGUGUCGUUCCAGACCACGACGGCGGGCUUCUUGGGGUCCGACCGGAACGUGAUGAACGGCUUGCUGAUGUUCAGGAACAGCUUCUCGCGGAACUGAGCGCCGGGCUUGAGAUCCAGGAUCACGCGCUUGGUGUUGCUCACCGGGAUAUCCUCCAGCGCCGCGGUGAUGUUGGUGUAGUCGCCCUUGCCGCUGGGGUCCACCACGUACGUGACCUUCUUCUUCUCCGCCUCCGACAGCUUCUUGUCCAGGGGCUCCUUGCCCCCGUCCCCGACGGACUUCUGCGCGUACAGCGCGUAGCUCUGCUGGUUCAUCGCCACCCAGUUGCUGAACGCCCCGCCGGGCGCGUUCGCGGCGGCCGGCGCCGCACCAAGGAGCGCGGACGCCAGGGCGAGGAGGAGGAGGGGCUUAUUAGUCGUCAUCGUGGCCACCGCUCGCUGCGCCAUGGUGGACCACCGAAGCAAUGCACCUACCGAAGGACGGGGAGCGCG